AUACGGAGGAUGCAAGCGUUAUCCGGAUUUAUUGGGUUUAAAGGGUGUGUAGGCGGAAUGGUAAGUCAGUGGUGAAAUCCUACAGCUUAACUGUAGAACUGCCAUUGAAACUUCUGUUCUUGAGUAUAGUUGAGGUGGGCGGAAUGUGUCAUGUAGCGGUGAAAUGCAUAGAUAUGACACGGAACACCGAUUGCGAAGGCAGCUCACUAAACUAUUACUGACGCUGAGGCACGAAAGCGUGGGGAGCGAACAGGAUUAGAAACCCGGGUAGUCC
RNAcentral lists this ribosomal RNA (274 nucleotides) under uncultured bacterium. RNAcentral describes it as "partial 16S ribosomal RNA". It matches the Rfam family "Bacterial small subunit ribosomal RNA", at positions 523 to 796 of the family's 1533-position model. The record is from RNAcentral.